AGUGGCCUACGGGGGGCAGCAGUGGGGAAUAUUGCACAAUGGGGGAAACCCUGAUGCAGCGACGCCGCGUGAGCGAAGAAGUAUUUCGGUAUGUAAAGCUCUAUCAGCAGGGAAGAAAAUGACGGUACCUGACUAAGAAGCCCCGGCUAAAUACGUGCGAGCAGCCGCGGUAAUACGUAUGGGGCAAGCGUUAUCCGGAUUUACUGGGUGUAAAGGGAGCGUAGACGGCAUAGCAAGUCUGAAGUGAAAGCCCGUGGCUCAACCGCGGAACUGCUUUGGAAACUGUUGAGCUGGAGUACUGGAGA
RNAcentral lists this ribosomal RNA (305 nucleotides) under uncultured bacterium. RNAcentral describes it as "bacterial SSU rRNA". It matches the Rfam family "Bacterial small subunit ribosomal RNA", at positions 333 to 655 of the family's 1533-position model. The record is from RNAcentral.